Molecule: long non-coding RNA, 1579 nt
Filed under: Ricinus communis (castor bean)
Lineage: Eukaryota; Viridiplantae; Streptophyta; Magnoliopsida; Malpighiales; Euphorbiaceae
Description: long non-coding RNA (RCOM_LNC000606)
Source: RNAcentral
CUUUGAGAUACUUGUCAUAGCACUACAGACAAAUGCGAGGUAAUGUGUGUUAGAAAAGGAGGAUGAAGGCUUAAAAUAAAAUUUUAUAGUUUGUGUGAUUGCUGAAACGUACAAUAAAUUCCCCAAUGCCUGGAAAAACCCAGCCUUGAGUUUGUGGAUAAGAGGGGUAUCUUAGCUCUCCUGCUGGACCAAGCCCUACUUCGAUAUCUAUGAUCACCCCAGCUUUUAAAAAGUCUGACAUGUUCUCCCUGAAGCUCUUCAUGUAAUCAGUAUACAUCUAGAUAGAUCAAGAAAUAUUAUUUCACCAUCUAGGAAGCAAAAUCACUAAAUUAUUCAGAUCGAACUUAUAUACAUCUAUGUGCAAUGCCACUGUUUUCAUAUAUUGAUUAUAGCUUGAAGAUCAGGUUGGCAAAAAUGUGGUCAUUCAACUUACUUCGAUCGAAGUUCGUCCGUGAAACAGAGGCUGGUGAUCUACCCCAAUACUGAGGUACUCUUCGUUUCUUUCGCCUUCUUUACUUGUGUAAAAGAUAUCAGGGUCUGAUUCUCCAACAUCUCGCACCCACUGGGGGAUCGGGAUGUUAACAACAUCUCCUACAUUGCCACCGCAUUGGUGGAAUGACAUUAUGGCUUGUAUUUUCAGUUCAAUUUGUUGAAUGAGUUCAAACAAGCUCCUGUAAGCACUCCAGUCAUACUGCUUAGGGCCCUUAGACUCUAUGAUCCCCCACCACACAUCCACCAUUACACCAUCGACACCGGUUGCUUUGAGCUCCUUGAGCUGCUUCUUCAGCUCAUCUUUACCUUCGAAAACAUUAUCAGCUGUAACAACUCCCAACUGUUACAUUGCAGAAAAGGUUAGUGAGUUUAAUAUGCUUAUUAUUGAUCUUAGUGUGCAAAUCCUGAACAAGUAAAUGAAAGAAAUGGUUUAUGUGACUUACUGGGAGCAUUACGUAAAUGGGCACAUAAUUUGCCAGCAUGUUCUCAUCGUAAGCUUUAGAACCCUGCAUUUUCUUCAGGUUACAGAAGACUGGUAUAAGAACAAUGGAAAUUGCUUUGAAGGUGUGAUGAAAAUUGCUGUGGAAUCCUGCUCUUUUUAUAGCUAGAACAAAGGUGAAAAUUUGGUCUUUGCAUGAAAUGGAGUGCAUUAUGUCUACUGUACGUCGGACCCACUUGUUUAGAUAACACUUUGCCUGAGAUAAGAACCCAUGGCGUUAUCUUUGCAUGCAUAGUUUCUACUGGACCACAGAUGAAGGCCACGUUGCCCCAUUCCUUGCUGUGCAGAAAUUGAAGGGAUUUGACAAAUAUUGGGGUCAUUCAGGACCAUCUCAGGUUCCUUGGGCCUGGACUUUGCAGCUAUCAUAUAUUUAGAAGACGACAAAAGUAUUUAUUGGAGGGUCACUACAUAGAUAUAUGCACAUGCACAUUCCAUAUGAUUACUCGUGUACCCUGUGAAUAUCUUUUAUUUCUUUCAACUCUUAUUAUUAUAUCACACAAUUUUAAAAAUCAACUCAAUAUAUUAUAUCUCACCAAACUCGAUACAUGAAUUUAUGCUAUCAUAUUAUAAUCAUUAUAUAUAUUAUUA